This 235-nucleotide ribosomal RNA is filed under the name uncultured bacterium. RNAcentral describes it as "partial 16S ribosomal RNA". It matches the Rfam family "Bacterial small subunit ribosomal RNA", at positions 15 to 252 of the family's 1533-position model. The record is from RNAcentral.
GAUCCUGGCUCAGGAUGAACGCUGGCGGCGUGCCUAAUACAUGCAAGUCGAACGCGAGCACUUGUGCUCGAGUGGCGAACGGGUGAGUAAUACAUAAGUAACCUGCCCUAGACAAGGGGAUAACUAUUGGAAACGAUAGCCAAGACCGCAUAGGUACGGACACUGCAUGGUGACCGUAUUAAAAGUGCCUCAAAGCACUGGUAGAGGAUGGACUUAUGGCGCAUUAGCUGGUUGG